RNAcentral lists this ribosomal RNA (406 nucleotides) under uncultured bacterium. Its description in RNAcentral is "partial 16S ribosomal RNA". It matches the Rfam family "Bacterial small subunit ribosomal RNA", at positions 30 to 526 of the family's 1533-position model. The record is from RNAcentral.
AUUGAACGCUGGCGUCACGCCUAACACAUGCAAGUCGAACGAGUGGCGGACGGGUGAGUAAUGUCUGGGCAACUGCCUGAUGGCGGGGGAUAACUACUGGAAACGGUAGCUAAUACCGCAUACCAUCGGAUGUGCCCAGAUGGGAUUAGCUAGUAGGUGGGGUAAAGUCUCACCUAGGCGACGAUCCCGAGCUGGUCUGAGAGGAUGACCAGCCACACUGGGAGUGGGACACGGGCCAGACUCCUACGGGAGGCAGCAGGGGGGAAUAUUGCACAAUGGGCGCAAGCCUGAUGCAGCCAUGCCGCGUGUAUGAAGAAGGCCAUCGGGUUGUAAAGUACUUUCAGCGGGGAGGCGUGACCCGCAGAAGAAGCACCGGCUAGCUCCGUGCCAGCAGCCGCGGUAAUUC